UACACUCCUACGGGAGGCAGCAGUGGGGAAUUUUGGACAAUGGGCGAAAGCCUGAUCCAGCAAUGCCGCGUGAGUGAAGAAGGCCUUCGGGUUGUAAAGCUCUUUUGUCAGGGAAGAAACGGUGAAAGCUAAUAUCUUUUGCUAAUGACGGUACCUGAAGAAUAAGCACCGGCUAACUACGUGCCAGCAGCCGCGGUAAUACGUAGGGUGCAAGCGUUAAUCGGAAUUACUGGGCGUAAAGCGUGCGCAGGCGGUUUUGUAAGUCUGAUGUGAAAUCCCCGGGCUCAACCUGGGAAUUGCAUUGGAGACUGCAAGGCUAGAAUCUGGCAGAGGGGGGUAGAAUUCCACGUGUAGCAGUGAAAUGCGUAGAUAUGUGGAGGAACACCGAUGGCGAAGGCAGCCCCCUGGGUCAAGAUUGACGCUCAUGCACGAAAGCGUGGGGAGCAAACAGGAUUAGAUACCCCGGUAGUCCCAUG
RNAcentral lists this ribosomal RNA (476 nucleotides) under uncultured organism. Its description in RNAcentral is "partial 16S ribosomal RNA". It matches the Rfam family "Bacterial small subunit ribosomal RNA", at positions 332 to 799 of the family's 1533-position model. The record is from RNAcentral.